ACAUCAGGACAUCCAAAGUGUCACAUUAACCGUAGCCAUCAUUUUAACCAUUCCAGUAUACGCCGGAUAGUCACGAUGAUCUCGUGCUACUUACCUAAGGUACACUAGAUCCAGGUGUAGGAUCUUUCACUCAAGCAUAAAAUACCCAAGCAAUCCCUUAAAAGUAAAUCAGACAAUUCAAAUAAGUGAUCUUGGUUUUUUUUUUUUUU
Molecule: long non-coding RNA, 209 nt
Filed under: Lathyrus oleraceus (garden pea)
Lineage: Eukaryota; Viridiplantae; Streptophyta; Magnoliopsida; Fabales; Fabaceae
Description: Pisum sativum (pea) long non-coding RNA (PSAT_LNC023206)
Source: RNAcentral